UGUGAUCUGUAGCUCCCCUUCUGGCCUCCCAGUUCCACUUCAGUGAGGUUUCCCUUUAUUAAUUUUCACAGAACCAUUGCUUCUUUAGGGUCUGGGCAGUGAUCAGUCAGAAGCCAGGUGAAGGAACUAUAAUUGGGAGAAUGAAUACCAGAGGUCCACGGAAGGUAGGACAACGUGUUUGCAAAUAGUCAGCUCUCAGGAGCUCUGCAGGAGUAAAAGGAGUAGCAAAAUAUCAGCCUUUUUAUUGGUGCUACCCCAGAGAGACCCAAGGGAAUAGGACCGUGUGCCUGGGGCCACAUCUUGCAGUGUCUGCAGGAUUACCAGAUGGAUUUAGAGACAUUGAAAUGCUGAUUUUAGUGCUCUUGGCUGCUGAAUGAAGACCACAUUCUUUCUCCUUGGUACUAGGUGCUUAGUGAAUAUUUAUGGAGUGACAUCUGGUGUCCUCCCCUGACCUCCCAUGGUGGUGUAAAAAUGUGUGCAUUAGAGAUUCUCUGAGAAUGAGAAUGAUACUUGGCAUUCAUGCUGAUAUACCCUUUGUUAUAACUUGUCUUCCGUGCUAGAUUUUUGUUUAUGGAAAAUUUCAAGCAUACAAAAAAGUAGAGUGAAGAAGAAAAUGAACUCUCAGAUACCUAUCACCUUGCUCAGUACUUUUCAAUAUUUUGCCAAUUUUAUUUCAACUAUUUCCCCCAUUUUCAGGGUUGGAGCUGGCGUAUUUGAAAACAAAUUGCAGACAUUACAAGCUAAGGAAGGACUGAAAUAAACUCCGAGUGCAAGGACUAUACCUUAAUUCCCUUGGUGCCUAGCACUAUGCCUGAAAAUAGCAGGUGCUCAGAAAAGACUGGUUGAAUUGAGAGGAGGAAAAACAAAAUUAUGAGAACAUCAUCAUUUUGAACUAACCCUAGGGCAGACCUAGAAAGGAAAAGGGUGGUGAGUCUUGCCCUAAAAUAACUUCUUUCAUGUUACCUGAAUUUGUUCUCUAUAACCAUGAUUCCCCUGUCACCUUAAGACAGCCUUGACUGAAAGAGAAAAUUCUUUUUAGGAAGAGUUCAGGGUCUCUCAUUUAUUUAAAUGUUUUUACAAAGAAGUCCAAUCUGAUGAUGUUUUCCCAAACACCAACCAGGAGUGACCUGCCCUAAAAAGAGCUCUUUUUAAAAAAUCAUUAUUAUUUUUUUAAAUUAUAAGAGUGGUAUAUAUUCAUUGAAAGAAAAACAGGAAAUUACAGAGAAAUAGAAAAUAAAAUUAUUCAAUAUGUAAUUCCAGAGAUAACAUCUUGGUUAGCAUGCUGAUAAAAUUUGAGCAUGAAUCAUAUUGGUAAUCAGAGUCAACAGAUAUUUAUUAUAUCCUUGGGAAUGUACUAGGUGUGUUUGCUGUGUCAUCUCAUUAAAUUCUUACAGCCAUGUUGUAAAUUAAGCUAAUUUUUAAAAAUCAUUUUGUAGCUGGGGAAAUGGAAACAUGGGGAGAAUGUUUGCCUUCAAUCUGAUAAGCAGGCCGGGCAGAUCUCUCUUGAAACAUUAUCCCUCUAUAAGCAGCUCUUAGAAAAACAAUGUUCCCUGUCUAACUUUUCCAAGACUGAGAUUUUAUCAAAAACUGUUGCCAAUCCUAGCAUUUAAGCCUCCUGCAAUUAAGUCUGCAAGAGGUAGUCUGGCUCCAGAAAACUGCAGACUUACUGUUACCUGGAGGGAAGAAAACAGACCUCCAGGAGACCAUUUCAGAGACAGUCUCAAGGAAAGGGACAGGAAGAGACAGGUAGAAGGCUGCAUGUUUCAAGGGUUUGUGCCGGGCACACCCAGGUACCAAGGGGAGGAAAGAGACUGAAACGUCCAUGUGAAGGAUGUGGCAGAAGCCCAGGCUUUGGAGCUGAGCACGUGGGCUCAGACCCCAGCUCUACCACUUAGUAGUUGUGUGAGCUCAGGCAAGUUCCGUAAUCUCUCAACCUUCAUUUUCUCCUCUAUAAAAUGAGGAGACCAAUAAUUCUUACCUCACAAAGUUGAGAUGAGAAUUAAGUAAGUUAAUACAAGUGGUUUAGCCCCAGUGCAUGGCACAGAGUAAAUGCACAAAUGGAUCACUCUUCUUAUUAGCGAUUAAUCUUCUAAUUAGUUAUUACUGCCUUCAGCAAGCCCCUAAGCAAGGCCUAAAGACCCUAAACAAGACCCUAAACACAGGCCAUACUGUUUAAUUGCUUCCUGGGCCAAAUCUUCUCUCUUGUGGUUUGAUCCAGGAACCUAACCUACGUUUGUAACAUGGUGUCUAGAGAGAAAUGCGUUCUAGGUUUCCCUCAAACUCAUGUAGAGCUAAAAUUUUGGAAUACUACCCUUAAGUAAGUAAGAGGCUAUCUUGAGAGUUGCUAAGGGUGUUUAAAAAAAAUUAAUUAAUUUUUGGUUGUGUUGGGUCUUCACUGCCGCAGGCUUUCUCUAGUUGCAGCGAGGGGGGGCUACUCAUUGUUGUGGUGGCGGGCUUCUCAUUACGGUGGCUUCUCUUGAUGUGGAGCAUGGGCUCUAGGCGUCUGGGGUCAGUAGUUGUGGCUCACGGGCUCUUGGCGCGCGGGCUCAGUAGUUGUGGCACACGGGCUUAGUUGCUCCACGGCAUGUGGGAUCUUCCCGGACCAGGGCUCGAACCUGUGUCCCCUGUAUUGGCAGGCAGAUUCUUAACCACUGCGCCACGAGGGAAGUGUGAGUGUUUUGUUUUUGUUUUUCACAGUAAAUUGCCACAUCCCCACGUCUCAUUUAUUUAUUUAGUAUUUAUUUAUUUGGCUGUGCCAGGCCUUACUUGCUGCAUGCAGUGCGGGCUCCUCGUUGAGGCACGUGGGAUCUUCGUUGCAGCCUGUGGGAUCCUUAGCUGCAGCAUACAGGAUCUAGUUCCCUGACCAGGGAUGGAACCCGGGCCCCCUGCAUUGGGAGCACGGAGGCUUAUCCACUGGACCACCAGGGAAGUCCCUCACAUCUCAUGUAAAAAAUCAACUUUGUUUUCAUUACAAAAGGACAAAAGUGUGUCAUACUUUUACAAAAAUGAGAGAAAAGGGUAGAAAGCACCCCUGGCUAAUCCCAUACUCCUAACAGAAUUAUUGCUAGCUUUUGGUAAUAUUUCUUUCUAGAGUUUUCUUAACUCUCUAAUUUUAGUGGUAAUCAUAUGCAAGAAUUUAUUUUCUGUUUUUCUUUUUGUUACUUAAGAUUUCAUCAUACGUGUUUUUGUGUUAUUUUGGCACAGAAUAUAUAUUGGUCUCCAUUCUGUCCAUUUAAUUGAGGAUACGUUUGCUGCGGAGAUUCUGUGUCCUGGCUUUAGCAUUUUCCGCACUCUUCUGAUAACACGUUUAGAAUUUGAGGAGAGACGUGGUUUUGGUAAUGCAGAGAGGAUGUGGGGCCUUGCGAAGUAGCCUUCAUCAUCUUAGUGCAUUUACCAUGGUCCAGGGAGGGCCCUCAGCUAUGUGGCCUCAGAAACUGGAUUUUUCAGGAACUAAGAGCAUAGCCACCUCUCACAGGUGAAUUCAUACUAUCCUACUACAUGCAAUUGAAGUAUGAAGUCAAAAUAACAACCCAUCAACUGACAGAAAUACAGUACAGUAGAGUGGUGAUUCCGGCAGCCACCAGUGUGUCUGCCUGUAGGUCAUCCCUAGUCUAGAGUCAUUUAAUGUAAAGUAAAAUAAUAUAACGAUCACAACAGUGAUGGUCCCCACUUAGUGGGUGCUUACUGUGCAUCAGGAGGUGGGCUAACACUUUAUGUAUUAAUAUAUUAGGUCAUCCAGUCCCUCAGUAACUUCUCUAGGAAGGUACUAUUUUUAUCCCCAUUUUACAGGUAAGGAGACCAAGGCUCAGUGAAGUGAUGGGCUCGAGGUUUCAUAGUUUCUGUCUAAACCCAAACCCCAGAUCUUAAACACUGUGCUGUAGUUCUGUUAUUCUUACAGAUAUUUGGCCUCCUGUGUUGGCAUCCUUUUGUGUUCCUUGCUGUCUCCCCAACCUCCUGGGACGUGCCCUGUGCCAUUGUCUCUUUGUGAGGAUAACAUUGAUAACUGAAAAGUCCUUGAUUUUUCAUCCUCUGUUUCAAGGAACAUGUUUUUCCAGCUCUUACAGAGGGAGAAGAGCUUUUGUCUUUUCCCUCAUUUUCUCUUUGGAUCAAAAUAUGCCCUAGAACAAGAGUUCACCUUCUCUUAAAGCUGUGCCAGGAAGGGGCAACUAAGAAAGGGAACCAUUAGGGCUGUAUUUUGGGCUGUGCCAGCUCAGAACUGAGGAGGCACUGACCGUCUCUUCUUUGCUUUCUCCACCGGUGCAGCAUCUGGAAAUGGCUUUUCUUCUGGGGUGAAUGACAGCUGGGGUGAGAACCCAGAGAGAACUCCUGUGGUAUAUAGAUGGUUGGAUCCUUCUACAUCCAAAAUCUCUGGUUUUCUGAUCUCUAACGUUGGAGAACUCCCACUACUGUAAAUCAGUUGGGGAUAGGUUUUCAGUUUGUGCUGAUGUGAAUAAUUUCAGGAUAGGAUUUCCAUCUGAAACGGCAUGUCUUUGUGAUUGCAUUUUAGGGAUUGCUGGAGCGGAACUACCAAGCAGAAGCAGGCAUUGCACUGUCAGUUGUCAUCAGGUUUGCAAUCAGAUUGGAAAAGCUGAACUUGAAGCUUCCUGCCUGCAGUGAGGCCGAGAGAGACCUACUGCUCGCAUAAUAAAAGACAUGAGCUUCAACGUGACUCUCCACCUUUCCUAUAAAUUCCGAUUACUGUUGCUCUUUACUUUAUGCCUGACGGUGGUUGGGUGGGCCACCAGUAACUACUUUGUGGGUGCUAUUCAAGAGAUUUCUAAAGCAAAGGAUCUCAUGGCUAGUUUGAACAAGGGUGUAGUUUUGGGGAAGAAAGGAGCUGUGACAGAGGAAGCCUCUGUGAAAAAAGCAGACCUUAACAACUGCUCUUCUGUGUCUCCACACCUCAAAGGCCAGAACAAGCUCGUUUUCAAACCAGAUCUCACUCUGGAAGAAGUACAGGCAGAAAACCCCAAGGUGCACAGAGGCCGGUAUCACCCUGAGGAAUGCAGGGCUUUGCAGCGGGUCGCCAUCCUCAUCCCUCACCGGCACAGAGAGAAGCACCUGCUGUACCUGCUAGAACACCUUCACCCCUUCCUGCAGAGGCAGCAGCUGGAGUAUGGCAUCUACGUCAUCCACCAGGCUGGAAGUAACAAGUUUAAUCGCGCCAAACUCCUGAAUGUGGGCUAUAUAGAAGCUCUCAAGGAUGAAAUUUGGGACUGCUUCAUAUUCCAUGAUGUGGACCUGGUGCCCGAGAACGAUUUGAACCUUUACAAGUGUGAGGAUCAGCCCAGGCAUCUGGUGGUUGGCAGGAACAGCACUGGGUACAGGUUACGUUACAGCGGGUAUUUUGGGGGUGUUACCGCCCUAAGCCGAGAGCAGUUUUUCAAGGGUUGAGCUUCAUAGAAUGAAAAUAACCCGGCCACUGCCUGAAGUGGGUAAAUAUACUAUGAUCUUCCACAAGAGAGACCAAGGCAAUGAGGUGAAUAUAGAACGGAUGAAGCUCUUACAUCAGGUGUCACGUGUCU
This is an RNA transcript of Globicephala melas (long-finned pilot whale), 5525 nucleotides long. It is a transcript of the gene named beta-1,4-galactosyltransferase 4, with no coding region annotated. The record is from RefSeq and is a predicted model, not a curated record. NCBI's taxonomy places the organism in Eukaryota, Metazoa, Chordata, Mammalia, Artiodactyla, Delphinidae.